Long non-coding RNA from Lycium barbarum (goji berry), 594 nucleotides. RefSeq lists it as uncharacterized. The transcript is spliced from 4 exons. The record is from RefSeq and is a predicted model, not a curated record. NCBI's taxonomy places the organism in Eukaryota, Viridiplantae, Streptophyta, Magnoliopsida, Solanales, Solanaceae.
CUGCAUUUAAAUGCAUCUAAACGAUCCCUUUAAUUCAUUGGCCCCAAAUUGAGACAAGGAUUCUCUCUCUCUCUCUCUCUCUCUCUCUCUCUCUCUCUCUCUCUCUCUCUUCGAAUCCUCACGUCACAUAGCCAGAAUUGGUAAAGUCGAGGACCCACGGCGGUCCUCGCAUGGUAGAGCAGAGACAAGAAAGAUCGUGUAGAAGGAGGCAAGGUUCUGAAUUUCAUUCUCGACGAAAGGCUGCUCGGAGAAAGGAGUUUGGUUAUUGGAGACGCUUCGAAAGACAAGGCAACGUGUGGGUUCGUGGCACCUGUUCGGCUGCCAGAUUUGUUUCAGGUGAUUGAUCGAAGCAUAUGUGGAAAUACGCGGUGCCUAUCUGGAAGACCUCCUCCCAUUUCAUUUCGGGACAGAGAUUGAGUUUUAGAAUGUAGUGGUAAUCUGAAAUCAUUAGUCACUCUUGUACUAGUCUAGACCAGGUCAUGGGAAGUUGGAUCGAGUCUGUAUUUGUUACAUCGUUGUAAUUAUAUUAAAUCCUGAGUUUAUUGCAUGUAUUAUGAAGCUUCCGCUGAAUUUCUAAGUAUCUACUGAUUUAAA